This 924-nucleotide long non-coding RNA is filed under the name Marmota monax (woodchuck). Lineage: Eukaryota; Metazoa; Chordata; Mammalia; Rodentia; Sciuridae. The record is from RNAcentral.
UUUAUAUCCAGCUGAACUCAUAUAUUUUAUAAUUUGCAACUUAUUUGGGGUUAUUAUGUAAUUAAUCAUAUUGCCUACAAUAAUAAGGUUACAUUUAAGUAAACAAGGAUGUGAAAUAGUCAAAAAAGUAAACUAUGUAGAUAUUCAGGGAAGAACAGCAGGCAGAAGUAAAAGCAAGUACAAAAAUCUUAAAGCAGGAAAGUGACUAUGUGUUCAAGGAAGUCAAAGUUCCUGGAAUGCUAAGCAAACAGAAAAGUGGUAGAUGAGGUCAGAAGUAUUGGACCAGAUUAUGUAGGGCCUUGUAGACUACUGUACAGACAAGUUUUACUCUGCUUUGGGCAUCUGUGAGAGGAAUUUAAGCAAAGGGUGACAUGAUUCAGGUUUUUUAAAAUCCUUCUGUCUACUCUAUUCAAAAUAGACUAAUGAAAGUCAAGAAUUAAAUCAGGGAGACAUGAUAGAAGGCCAUUGCAGUAAUUCAGGCGAGAUGUUGGAGGUUUAGAUCAGGGUGACACUGGGAGAGGUGGUUAGAAAUGGCUAGAUUCUGGGUACAUUCUGAAGAUAGAAUCAACAGAAUUUGCUAGAUGGUGCUUAGGAAAGAAAAAAACAAUCAAGGAUGAGUCCAGGUGUUUUGUUUUGAAUCAUUGGGAAAACAUGGUUUCCAUUAGUAAAGAAAGUUUUUUUAAGAAGUUAGAUAUCAGUUCAUAAAAUGUCUUCUUUAUAAGGCCUUUGAAAGAAAUGUGAGUCAGCAUUUGGUAAUAGUUGCAAUUUUCCAAAGAACUCACUUUUAUCUUUGUUUAUAUCUAAUGAGAACUGCAAAUUAUAUGACUGAUUGCAUUAGCUGCUCAAAAAUGAAGAACCACAUUUGUGUUCCUUGUAAAAAGGAAAAAAUAUAUGUAUCUUUUAUUGACUGCAUUCAUCUUUGAC